RNAcentral lists this transfer RNA (75 nucleotides) under Bradyrhizobium sp. Its description in RNAcentral is "tRNA-Val". It matches the Rfam family "tRNA". Rfam says of the family: Transfer RNA (tRNA) molecules are approximately 80 nucleotides in length. Their secondary structure includes four short double-helical elements and three loops (D, anti-codon, and T loops). Further hydrogen bonds mediate the characteristic L-shaped molecular structure. tRNAs have two regions of fundamental functional importance: the anti-codon, which is responsible for specific mRNA codon recognition, and the 3' end, to which the tRNAs corresponding amino acid is attached (by aminoacyl-tRNA synthetases). tRNAs cope with the degeneracy of the genetic code in two manners: having more than one tRNA (with a specific anti-codon) for a particular amino acid; and 'wobble' base-pairing, i.e. permitting non-standard base-pairing at the 3rd anti-codon position. The record is from RNAcentral. Lineage: Bacteria; Pseudomonadati; Pseudomonadota; Alphaproteobacteria; Hyphomicrobiales; Nitrobacteraceae. RNAcentral also lists the same sequence under 9 other names.
GGGCGCGUAGCUCAGCGGAAGAGCACUACGUUGACAUCGUAGGGGUCACAGGUUCGAUCCCUGUCGCGCCCACCA